AAAUUUAAAAUCUGGCAGUCUUUGGCUGUCCGAGUUGUAAUCUAGAGAAGUGUUAUCCGCGCUGGACCGUGUACAAGUCUCCUGGAAUGGAGCGUCAUAGAGGGUGAGAAUCCCGUCUUUGACACGGACUACCAGGGCUUUAUGGAUGCGCUCUCAAAGAGUCGAGUUGUUUGGGAAUGCAGCUCAAAAUGGGUGGUAAAUUCCAUCUAAAGCUAAAUAUUGGCGAGAGACCGAUAGCGAACAAGUACCGUGAGGGAAAGAUGAAAAGAACUUUGGAAAGAGAGUUAAACAGUACGUGAAAUUGCUGAAAGGGAAACGCUUGAAGUCAGUCGCGUUGUCCAGGGAUCAACCUUGCUUUUGCUUGGUGCACUUUCUGGUUGACGGGUCAGCAUCAAUUUUGACUAUUGGAAAAAGAUCAAGGGAAUGUGGCAUCUUUGGAUGUGUUAUAGCCCUUGGUUGCAUACAAUGGUUGGGAUUGAGGAACUCAGCACGCCGCAAGGCCGGGUUUUUAACCACGUACGUGCUUAGGAUGUUGGCAUAAUGGCUUUAAUCGACCCGUCUUGAAACACGGACCAAGGAGUCUAACAUGCCUGCGAGUGUUUGGGUGGAAAACCCGAGCGCGCAAUGAAAGUGAAAGUUGAGAUCCCUGUCGUGGGGAGCAUCGACGCCCAGACCAGACCUUUUGUGACGGAUCUGCGGUAGAGCAUGUAUGUUGGGACCCGAAAGAUGGUGAACUAUGCCUGAAUAGGGUGAAGCCAGAGGAAACUCUGGUGGAGGCUCGUAGCGAUUCU
Molecule: ribosomal RNA, 791 nt
Filed under: Cortinarius sp. mag2
Lineage: Eukaryota; Fungi; Basidiomycota; Agaricomycetes; Agaricales; Cortinariaceae
Description: LSU rRNA
Rfam family: Eukaryotic large subunit ribosomal RNA
Source: RNAcentral